UACGAAGGGGGCUAGCGUUGCUCGGAAUCACUGGGCGUAAAGCGCACGUAGGCGGACUCUUAAGUCGGUGGUGAAAUCCUGGAGCUCAACUCCAGAACUGCCUUCGAUACUGAGAGUCUCGAGUCCGGGAGAGGUGAGUGGAACUGCGAGUGUAGAGGUGAAAUUCGUAGAUAUUCGCAAGAACACCAGUGGCGAAGGCGGCUCACUGGACCGGUACUGACGCUGAGGUGCGAAAGCGUGGGGAGCAAACAGG
RNAcentral lists this ribosomal RNA (253 nucleotides) under uncultured bacterium. RNAcentral describes it as "partial 16S ribosomal RNA". It matches the Rfam family "Bacterial small subunit ribosomal RNA", at positions 524 to 776 of the family's 1533-position model. The record is from RNAcentral.